RNAcentral lists this ribosomal RNA (519 nucleotides) under uncultured bacterium. Its description in RNAcentral is "bacterial SSU rRNA". It matches the Rfam family "Bacterial small subunit ribosomal RNA", at positions 355 to 893 of the family's 1533-position model. The record is from RNAcentral.
UGGGGAAUCUUGGACAAUGGGGGCAACCCUGAUCCAGCCAUGCCGCGUGAGUGAUGAAGGCCUUAGGGUCGUAAAGCUCUUUCGCCUGUGAAGAUAAUGACGGUAGCAGGUAAAGAAACCCCGGCUAACUCCGUGCCAGCAGCCGCGGUAAUACGGAGGGGGCUAGCGUUGUUCGGAAUUACUGGGCGUAAAGGGCGUGUAGGCGGCCAAUUAAGUCAGAGGUGAAAUCCCCGAGCUCAACUUGGGAACUGCCUUUGAUACUGGUUGGCUAGAGUUCGGGAGAGGGUAGUGGAAUUCCCAGUGUAGAGGUGAAAUUCGUAGAUAUUUGGAGGAACACCAGUGGCGAAGGCGGCUCACUGGCUCGAUACUGACGCUGAGGUGCGAAAGUGUGGGGAGCAAACAGGAUUAGAUACCCUGGUAGUCCACACCGUAAACGAUGAAUGCCAGUCGUCGGGUAGCAUGCUAUUCGGUGACACACCUAACGGAUUAAGCAUUCCGCCUGGGGAGUACGGUCGCAGA